GCCACAGCAGGUCUGUUACCCAUCGGAGGUGGGGCCUAGGGAAUGCCGGGCCGGGAACACAGACCGCCAGCCCCAGAUGCCACAUUUGUUCCUGAAACAGACCAAGCAGACGCUCAUGAGGAUCCACCCCGCCAACCCGAGCCACAGCCUUCCCCUCCGAAGGCCCCUCCAAUCAGCCUUCUCACUGUGAGACCGCGGGGAUCUUGAGGAUGCCCGGACUGCUGGGACAACGGAGCAGGGGCCGGGGACUGGGAAGUCCUGAGGAAUCACUGUUAAUUGGUCAGGUGCUUGACAUUUUCCAUAAUAAAAAGUUAAAAAUAAAAGGAUGUCUGAUUCAACGUAACAGGUAGAGGCUUCCGUGCGUCCCUCUCAUUCGUGGAGAGGGUGAGCAGGCAGAAGACCAACCGGGAGACAGAGGGCCCGAACACCACCGCAGACAGAACCUAACAGGCCUCCUCAGGACACCCCACCUAACGGCGGCAGAAGGCUCGUUCUGCGCCAGCGCACACGGGGCACUCUUCGGGGGGGACCGUCUGCUGGGCCACCAAAGAAGCCCCGGUGAAAUUUAAAGGAGAGAAAUCGCACCACGCAUGUCCUCCAGUCACGAUGGGAUGAAAUCAGAACUCAGUGACAGAAACAGAUGUUCGGGAAACUCACCAAUACGCGGAAAGGAGACAACACACUCCUCAAUAACCAAAGGAUCGAAGAACAAACCGAAAGGGAAAAUCAGAAAAUACUUUGAGAUGAAUGGAAACGAACAUGCAACAUGUUAAAACGUAUGGGGCAUUGCUGAAGCAGUGCUUAAAGGGAAAUUCAUAGCUGUAAAUGACGAUAUUAAGGAAGAAAAGAAUUUCAAAUCAAUAAUCUAACCUUCCACAUGAAGGCGCUGGGAAGAGAGUACACUAAACCCACAGCAAGCAGAAGGAAGGAAAUCAUAUAAUAAAUAUGAGAGUGAAAAUUAACAAAAUACAGAACAGAAAAACAACAGAGAAAAUUGAUUGAACCAAAAGCUAGUUCUUUGAAAAGAUCAACCAAAUUGACACACCGUCAGCUGGACGGGCCAAGGAAAGAGACAGGACUCAAACUACUAAAAUCAGCAACGAAGGAGGGGCCGUUCCCAUGGCCAUUACAGAAAUAGAAAGGAUUAUAAAGGAAUACAAUGAACAAUUGUACCCAAACAAAUUUGACAAUUUAGAUGAAAUGGACAAACCCUAAAGGGACAAAAAGUGGCAAAACAACCUCAAGAAGAAAUAAGCUACUAGACCUGUAAAAAGUACAGAGCUUGAAGUGGUAAUAAAACAACUACUCACAAAGGAAAGCCCGGGCGAGAGGGCUUCACCAGUGAGUCCCACCAAACCCCGAAGGAGAAUGAAUACCGAUGAUUCACAAACUCUUGCAAAAACCACACAAGGGCCGUAACACCGCCUGCCCCAUCCUGGGAGGCGCUGCCCAGACGCCAAAGCCAGGCACGCCACCAGACAGCUACGGACCAAGUCCCGUACUAAAUGAGUAUAAAACACUAGCCGACCAAGCCUGGCAACACAGGGGUUCUUUCACACCCCGUGACCAAGUGGAAUUCAUCCGGGAGUACACGGUUGAGUCAACAUCUAAAAAUCAAGUGAUGUCACACACAGCAAUAGAAUUUUUUCAAGGUACAUGAUAGACACAGAGAAAAGCACCUGACAAAAUUCAAACCCUUUCAUGAUUAAAUAGAAGGAAACUUCCAGAACCUAAUAAAGGGCACCCCCACUUAACGGUGCAAGGCUGGAUUCCUUUCCCCUACGGCCAGAAACAAGACAAGGAUGUCUGCCACUUGCAUUCAAAAGUUGACUGGAGAUUUUAGCCAAAACAACUGGGCAGGAGAAAGAAAUAAAGGAAAUUCAAGCCCUGGCAGGGUAGCUCGGGCACUUAGAGCAUUGUCCUGAUACACCAGCGUCGUGGGUUCCAGAAGCAGCCCAUGAAUGCAUAAAUAAGUGGAAGAACAAAUAUGUUUCUUUCUUUCUCGAAAAUCAAUCAAUAAAUUUAUUUUUAAGAAAGAAUAGAGCCCUGGCUGGUGUGG
This is a long non-coding RNA of Phyllostomus hastatus (greater spear-nosed bat), 2059 nucleotides long. RefSeq lists it as uncharacterized. The transcript is spliced from 3 exons. Lineage: Eukaryota; Metazoa; Chordata; Mammalia; Chiroptera; Phyllostomidae. The record is from RefSeq and is a predicted model, not a curated record.